GAGGGUAUAGCUCAAGUGGGAGAGCCCAUGCUUAGCAUGCACAAGGUCCUGGGUUCAAUCCCCAGUACCUCCA
RNAcentral lists this transfer RNA (73 nucleotides) under Camelus bactrianus (Bactrian camel). It matches the Rfam family "tRNA". From Rfam's summary of the family: Transfer RNA (tRNA) molecules are approximately 80 nucleotides in length. Their secondary structure includes four short double-helical elements and three loops (D, anti-codon, and T loops). The record is from Rfam by way of RNAcentral. RNAcentral also lists the same sequence under 2 other names. Lineage: Eukaryota; Metazoa; Chordata; Mammalia; Artiodactyla; Camelidae.